RNAcentral lists this ribosomal RNA (253 nucleotides) under uncultured bacterium. RNAcentral describes it as "partial 16S ribosomal RNA". It matches the Rfam family "Bacterial small subunit ribosomal RNA", at positions 524 to 776 of the family's 1533-position model. The record is from RNAcentral.
UACAGAGGUCUCAAGCGUUGUUCGGAUUCAUUGGGCGUAAAGGGUGCGUAGGUGGCGCCGUAAGUCAGGCGUGAAAUCCCGGGGCUCAACCCCGGAACUGCACUUGAUACUGCGGUGCUCGAGUACUGGAGAGGAGAUUGGAAUUUACGGUGUAGCAGUGAAAUGCGUAGAUAUCGUAAGGAAGACCAGUGGCGAAGGCGAAUCUCUGGACAGUUACUGACACUGAGGCACGAAGGCCAGGGGAGCAAACGGG